GUUUUUGUAGUUUAUAAAGAAUUUAACAUUGAAGCCGUUAAGGAGGAGUUUUCUCCCGAAAACA
RNAcentral lists this transfer RNA (64 nucleotides) under Cultellus attenuatus. RNAcentral's name for it is "tRNA-Phe". The record is from RNAcentral. Lineage: Eukaryota; Metazoa; Mollusca; Bivalvia; Adapedonta; Cultellidae.